CAGCUAGCUUAUCCACCAAUAUAACCAAAUAAUAUAAAUAAAAUAGAAUAGGCCAAACACCAAAAACUAAACCAUUCUUUUACCUGAGUAUGGGAGACAGAAAAGGUUCAACCAAAGCAAUAGAAACAGUACCGCAAGGGAAAGCUGAAAGAGAAAUGAAAUAACCCAUAUAAGUAUUAAAAAGCAAAGACUAAACCUUGUACCUUUUGCAUCAUGAUUUAGCCAGUAAACACAAGCAAAGAGACCUUUAGUUUGAAACCCCGAAACCAGGUGAGCUACCCCGAGACAGCCUAUUAAGGGCCAACCCGUCUCUGUGGCAAAAGAGUGGGAAGAGCUCCGGGUAGAAGUGACAGACCUACCGAACCUGGUGAUAGCUGGUUGCCUAAGAAAUGGAUAGAAGUUCAGCCUCGUACACCUCAAAUCAAAUAGAUACCAGCCAAGACUCCAAGAGAAAAACACGAGAGUUAGUUAAAGGGGGUACAGCCCCUUUAACAAAGGAUACAACCUUACCCAGGAGGAUAAAGAUCAUAAUAUAUAAAACAUACUGUUCUAGUGGGCCUAAAAGCAGCCACCUAAACAGAAAGCGUUAAAGCUCAGACAGAGAAAAGUUUAUUAUUCUGAUAAAAAAUCUUACUCCCCUAAAUACUAUUAGGCUAAUCCAUGCCCCCAUGGAAGAAAUUAUGCUAAAAUGAGUAACAAGAAGGCCCGCCCUUCUCCAAGCACAAGUGUAAGCCAAACCGGACCAACCGUUGGCAACUAACGAACUCAACCCAAGAGAGCAAUGUGAACCAUAAAGAAAACAAGAAAACCUCACAACUUAACAAUCGUUAACCCCACACUGGAGUGCUACUAAAGGAAAGACUAAAGGAAAAGGAAGGAACUCGGCAAACACAAGCCUCGCCUGUUUACCAAAAACAUCGCCUCCUGCAACACAGCCAUGUAUAGGAGGUCCAGCCUGCCCAGUGACUACAAGUUCAACGGCCGCGGUAUUUUGACCGUGCAAAGGUAGCGCAAUCACUUGUCUUUUAAAUAGAGACCUGUAUGAAUGGCUAAACGAGGGCUUAACUGUCUCCCCUUUCAAGUCAGUGAAAUUGAUCUGCCCGUGCAGAAGCG
Molecule: ribosomal RNA, 1113 nt
Filed under: Cyprinidae sp. 'Stenorhinchus xijiangensis'
Lineage: Eukaryota; Metazoa; Chordata; Actinopteri; Cypriniformes; Cyprinidae
Description: partial 16S ribosomal RNA
Rfam family: Bacterial large subunit ribosomal RNA (bases 182-1094)
Source: RNAcentral